RNAcentral lists this ribosomal RNA (545 nucleotides) under uncultured Planctomycetota bacterium. RNAcentral's name for it is "bacterial SSU rRNA". It matches the Rfam family "Bacterial small subunit ribosomal RNA", at positions 1 to 522 of the family's 1533-position model. The record is from RNAcentral. Lineage: Bacteria; Pseudomonadati; Planctomycetota.
UCGCCCUUAUAGUUUGAUCCUGGCUCACAACGAACGCUGGCGGCGUGGCUAAGACAUGCAAGUCGAACGAUAAAGCGCUUUAACGAGUGCCGGUAAAGUGGCGAAAGGGUGAGUAACGCAUAGAUAACCAACCUUCGAGAGGGGGAUAAGUCACCGAAAGGUGACUUAAUACCCCGUACGACCCCGAGAUCACAUGACCUUGGGAUGAAAGGUGGGGACCCGCAAGGGCCUACCGCUCGAAGACGGGUCUAUGUCCUAUCAGCUAGUUGGUGAGGUAACGGCCCACCAAGGCUGCGACGGGUACGGGGCCUGAGAGGGUGUUCCCGCACACUGGGACUGAGACACUGCCCAGACUCCUACGGGAGGCUGCAGUCGAGAGUCUUCGGCAAUGGGCGCAAGCCUGACCGAGCGACGCCGCGUGGAGGAUGAAGGCCUUCGGGUUGUAAACUCCCGUCACGGUGGAGGAAACGUCCCAAGGGAAUACCAAGGGAAACUGACCACACCGAGAGGAAGUCACGGCUAACUCUGUGCCAGCAGCCGCGGUA